RNAcentral lists this ribosomal RNA (500 nucleotides) under uncultured bacterium. RNAcentral's name for it is "partial 16S ribosomal RNA". It matches the Rfam family "Bacterial small subunit ribosomal RNA", at positions 30 to 523 of the family's 1533-position model. The record is from RNAcentral.
AUUGAACGCUGGCGGCAGGCCUAACACAUGCAAGUCGAGCGGAUGAAGGGAGCUUGCUCCCUGAUUCAGCGGCGGACGGGUGAGUAAUGCCUAGGAAUCUGCCUGGUAGUGGGGGACAACGUUUCGAAAGGAACGCUAAUACCGCAUACGUCCUACGGGAGAAAGCAGGGGACCUUCGGGCCUUGCGCUAUCAGAUGAGCCUAGGUCGGAUUAGCUAGCUGGUGAGGUAAUGGCUCACCAAGGCGACGAUCCGUAACUGGUCUGAGAGGAUGAUCAGUCACACUGGAACUGAGACACGGUCCAGACUCCUACGGGAGGCAGCAGUGGGGAAUAUUGGACAAUGGGCGAAAGCCUGAUCCAGCCAUGCCGCGUGUGUGAAGAAGGUCUUCGGAUUGUAAAGCACUUUAAGUUGGGAGGAAGGGUUGCUGAUUAAUACUCUGCAAUUUUGACGUUACCGACAGAAUAAGCACCGGAUAACUCUGUGCCAGCCGCCGCGGUAA